RNAcentral lists this ribosomal RNA (500 nucleotides) under uncultured bacterium. Its description in RNAcentral is "partial 16S ribosomal RNA". It matches the Rfam family "Bacterial small subunit ribosomal RNA", at positions 30 to 523 of the family's 1533-position model. The record is from RNAcentral.
AUUGAACGCUGGCGGAGUGCUUUACACAUGCAAGUCGAACGGCAGCACGGACUUCGGUCUGGUGGCGAGUGGCGAACGGGUGAGUAAUGUAUCGGAACGUGCCCAGUCGUGGGGGAUAACGUAGUGAAAAUUACGCUAAUACCGCAUACGAUCUAUGGAUGAAAGCGGGGGAUCGCAAGACCUCGCGCGAUUGGAGCGGCCGAUAUCAGAUUAGGUAGUUGGUGGGGUAAAGGCCCACCAAGCCAACGAUCUGUAGCUGGUCUGAGAGGACGACCAGCCACACUGGACCUGAGACACGGUCCAGACUCCUACGGGAGGCAGCAGUGGGGAAUUUUGGACAAUGGGCGAAAGCCUGAUCCAGCCAUUCCGCGUGCAGGAUGAAGGCCCUCGGGUUGUAAACUGCUUUUGUACAGAACGAAAAGGUUUCUACUAAUACUAGGAGCUCAUGACGGUACUGUAAGAAUAAGCACCGGCUAACUACGUGCCAGCAGCCGCCGUAA